This 425-nucleotide ribosomal RNA is filed under the name uncultured bacterium. RNAcentral's name for it is "partial 16S ribosomal RNA". It matches the Rfam family "Bacterial small subunit ribosomal RNA", at positions 354 to 796 of the family's 1533-position model. The record is from RNAcentral.
GUGGGGAAUCUUAGACAAUGGGCGCAAGCCUGAUCUAGCCAUGCCGCGUGAGCGAUGAAGGCCUUAGGGUUGUAAAGCUCUUUCGUGGGGGAAGAUAAUGACUGUACCCCAAGAAGAAGCCCCGGCUAACUCCGUGCCAGCAGCCGCGGUAAUACGGAGGGGGCUAGUGUUGUUCGGAAUUACUGGGCGUAAAGCGCACGUAGGCGGACUGGAAAGUCAGGGGUGAAAUCCCGGGGCUCAACCCCGGAACUGCCUUUGAAACUCCCAGUCUUGAGUUCGAGAGAGGUGAGUGGAAUUCCGAGUGUAGAGGUGAAAUUCGUAGAUAUUCGGAGGAACACCAGUGGCGAAGGCGGCUCACUGGCUCGAUACUGACGCUGAGGUGCGAAAGCGUGGGGAGCAAACAGGAUUAGAAACCCGAGUAGUCC